This 336-nucleotide ribosomal RNA is filed under the name Triticum aestivum (bread wheat). RNAcentral describes it as "partial small subunit ribosomal RNA". Lineage: Eukaryota; Viridiplantae; Streptophyta; Magnoliopsida; Poales; Poaceae. The record is from RNAcentral.
AUGGACAUUAUGCCUUUCCUUCCCGGUUGCAAGCUCUGCAUCUUCAACAACCCACCAUCUCUCUUCAUGAGUCUUAGCCGCAAGCGCUUUGCAAUAUCUUCAAGCUUUGUGAUGAUUGUUGCAGCUGUGUUGGUAGAUGUGAAUUUUGACUCUUUCUUGGACUUAUCCUCAAACAUGCCAGAGAGAUCAAACCCAGAAGAAAGAGAAAUGAUGUCAAAAGCAUUCAAGUUAGUGAGCUCUGUUGCUUCUUGUAUUGUCUCGGUUGUACAGCUACUGAAUGGAUCACAAGUCGGAUCCAUGUCAACAGCAACAAUGUCCUCCGUUGGUGUGUUAUAG